Molecule: long non-coding RNA, 1961 nt
Organism: Canis lupus familiaris (dog)
Lineage: Eukaryota; Metazoa; Chordata; Mammalia; Carnivora; Canidae
Exons: 5
Source: RefSeq, a predicted model, not a curated record
AACUCCACAGAAUGAUCUAUUAAAUACCUUACAUUGAAAAAAUUAAGAUCUACUCUUGCUAAGCUUCCUCAUGUGAAAGGACUGUCUGCAUGGAAUAUGAAGUCUGAGCUACAAUUUCAUACGCCUAAAAAACAUGGUCUGGGGCCCGAUCUCAGCAGCUACUUAAGAAAAGGUGUAUGUCCAGGUUAAGAAAACUAGAAGUUGCAGGAAAUGAGUGACGUUAGCAAAACAACGCACGUAGGAAUUGACCAAUUACUACAGCACAAAGAGAUCUCGGCUGGCUCAUCAAUGAUACUUAACCAACCAUAACAUCAAGAUCAGACUGGAAUAGGAACUACGAUCUAACACGACGAUUCACACCAGCUAACCUGCCUGGCACAACCUCACUAACGGUUCUACAAGAUUUCGCAGCAGCUUGUGACCGCCUGGAGAUGAGUGUGCCCAUUCUCUGUGACUUGCUGAAGAUGGUGCCUUUCCCCAAGAUGUCAGUGCACGAGCUCAAGUUCAGUGAACUCUCCGAGAUGACUAUGCAUUACCCAAGAAGACAUGUUCAGAAACUCCUCUGCUAAUUAGAUGUACUGGUUUCAUGAAAGCCUUCAUUUAAUUGCCUGGGAUUUACAGAAGAUCUAGAAACAAAGCCACACUAUGCCAUAACCUACCCCAGCCUGCACACAGGAAACUAAAGCCCAGAUCGGUUGAGGUUAUAUGCUCCUCGGGGCAGAGAUGGUGUGUGUCUUGUUCUUUAUUGGAUGUUCAUGGCCCUGCCCAGUGUAGAGUAGUGGCAACACAGCCCCGAAGAGAGCACAAGCAGGGGACCAGCAGAAGGAGAAGCAGGCUCCCCCCGGAGGAAGGAGCCCCAGAUGGACCUCGAUCCCACGAGCCUGGGAUCAUGACCUGAGCCAAGGGCAGAUGCUCAACCAAAUGAGCCAGCCACCCAAGGUGCCCCUAUUAUUAGAAAAUUUGAAAAUUAUAGCAGUUUAUAUUUUGAAACCAGGUAUCACCUCCAUGUUUCAACUUGCUUUAAAAAAUGAACAUCUAAUUUUAUUUAUACAGAUAACCAGAUUUGUAUAUUAGCUUAAAAUAUAUUUUAUCAAUAUUUGAGGCCACCCUUUUGAGAGCCCUCAGCCUGAAUUAUCCAAGAUGUGCACUCCUAUUCCAGUCUAGGGGGUAUUCAGAAAUGGAAAUCCCCUAGGUUGUAAUACAAAAAAGAAUUUACACUCAAAAUAUGUAUGCAAUAAAUAUAAAGACAGUAUUUUUUAAUAUUUACAUGACCAAGGGAGAUUUUAUUUUAAUGGAAGGAGGGCAGAAUGGCUUUCAGAUUCUUAUAUAUAGUGUUACCCACUCUGCUUAUGUGCUAAACUCUGUUGGUAGCACUAACAUCCUUAUUGACUUUUGCAGCGCUACUUUAGGCCAAACAAUCUGUCUCGAGAAAACUGGGAACCAUUAAGUGUGAAGAAUGGGCGUGGCUCUGCCAGUAGCUUAUCUGAAAGCUUAUUCUCUGCAUGGAAUAGGAAAGAAAAGAUGUGAAAUGGUAAACAUUAAGGUUUCAAAGUUUUGUUUGGAUUUCCAUGCAUUCCCAAGUAAGACAUGCUAAUAGCAAACCUAACUAUAUAUAUAACAUUCAAAGCCAAAUAUGAAUAAUUUUACCUCAAAUUACUUCAGUGAUUCCUCAACUAGCACAGCAUUCAGCUGACCAACAGAAUUCUCUGCGAUCAGGAGGAUGGUCUGUAUUUGUACUGUCCAACAUGAGAGCCACUACCCACCCGUGUCUAGUGAGCGCUGGAAAUGUGACUAGAGCAAAUGCGCAACUGAAUCUUGAUUUUAUUUUGCUUGUUAAAACUUCCAUUUGCACAGCCACACGUGGUUAGUGGCUACUGUAUAGGACCGUGGAGGAGAUAAUCCCUUUCUUUUCAAAUACAGUUUCCCACAUUUGCCUUUACUUUUAUCAGACUAUUUUGAUA